GCCCGGGUGAUGGAACUGGUAUACAUGAGGGACUUAAAAUCCCUUGCCCGAAAGGGCUUGCGAGUUCGACUCUCGCCCCGGGCA
Molecule: transfer RNA, 84 nt
Filed under: bacterium
Lineage: Bacteria
Description: tRNA-Leu
Rfam family: tRNA
About the family: Transfer RNA (tRNA) molecules are approximately 80 nucleotides in length.
Source: RNAcentral